UACGGAGGAUCCGAGCGUUAUCCGGAAUUAUUGGGUUUAAAGGGUGCGUAGGCGGCCAUUUAAGUCAGCGGUGAAAUUUUGCAGCUUAACUGUAACAGUGCCGUUGAUACUGUUUGGCUAGGAUUUGGUUGUAGUGUGCGGAAUGUGUGGUGUAGCGGUGAACUGCUUAGAUAUCACACAGAACACCGAUUGCGAAGGCAGCACACUAAGUCAUUAUUGACGCUGAGGCACGAAAGUGUGGGGAUCAAACAGGAUUAGA
Molecule: ribosomal RNA, 259 nt
Filed under: uncultured prokaryote
Description: partial 16S ribosomal RNA
Rfam family: Bacterial small subunit ribosomal RNA
Source: RNAcentral